This 337-nucleotide long non-coding RNA is filed under the name Gallus gallus (chicken). RNAcentral describes it as "long non-coding RNA NONGGAT005277". The record is from RNAcentral. Lineage: Eukaryota; Metazoa; Chordata; Aves; Galliformes; Phasianidae.
GGGUUCCAACUCGGGUGCCUGCAAGUUGGGUCUCCUGGCCACUUGAUGGGAGGCUGUGGACAUCUGGCAUCUCCUCCAUCCCCCGGAGCUCUGGCUCAGCCUUUGUGAUUCUAUGAUUCUCAGCGUUGGGACUGUGACUACGGAGACUUUAGAUCUGACCCGACGUGCUGAGCGCCGAGGCUGUGAUGGAUCGUAACGCUGAGUUAUUUGCAGCUCGGUGGCUGGCAGGCAUCUGUGAAGUCGUCUCAUUCUGAGAAUGGGCCUGUAAAACAGGUUUGGGAUGAAGGAUCCCCUUUCAAAAUGAAGGGCUGUCUGAAAGGGAGGGGGUCUGGUGCUG